GACGAACGCUGGCGGCGUGCUUAACACAUGCAAGUCGAACGGUGAAGCACCUUCCUUUUGGUGGGUGUGGAUGAGUGGCGAACGGGUGAGUCACACGUGAGUAACCUGCCCCCUUCUUCUGGAUAACCGCAUGAAAGUGUGGCUCAUACUGGAUAUUCUGUGCCUGCUGCAUGGUGGGUGUGGGAACGAUGCGCUUUUGGGUGUUUUUGGUGGCGGAUGGGCUCGCGGACUAUCAGCUUGUUGGUGGGGUGAUGGCCUACCAAGGCGGUGACGGGUAGCCGGCGUGAGAGGGGGGACGGUCACACUGGGACUGAGACACGGCCCAGACGCCUACGGGAGGCAGCAGUGGGGAAUAUUGCAAAAGGGGCGCAAGCCUGAUGCAGCGACGCCGCGUGAGGGAUGGAGGCCUUCGGGUCGUAAACCUCUUUCGCAAGUGAAGCAGGCCUGUCCAUUGUGGGUGGGUUGACGGUAGCUGGAUAAGAAGCGCCGGCUAACUACGUG
This 501-nucleotide ribosomal RNA is filed under the name uncultured bacterium. RNAcentral describes it as "partial 16S ribosomal RNA". It matches the Rfam family "Bacterial small subunit ribosomal RNA", at positions 28 to 507 of the family's 1533-position model. The record is from RNAcentral.